RNAcentral lists this ribosomal RNA (364 nucleotides) under uncultured bacterium. RNAcentral's name for it is "partial 16S ribosomal RNA". It matches the Rfam family "Bacterial small subunit ribosomal RNA", at positions 338 to 699 of the family's 1533-position model. The record is from RNAcentral.
CCUACGGGAGGCAGCAGUGAGGAAUAUUGGUCAAUGGCCGGAAGGCUGAACCAGCCAUGCCGCGUGAAGGUCAGUGCCCUAUGGGCGGUAAACUUCUUUUGUGCGGGAGCAAUAAUAGUCACGUGUGGCCAGACGAGAGUCCCGUACGCAUAAGCCUCGGCUCACUCCGUGCCCGCAGCCGCGGUAAUGCGGGGGAUGCACGCGUUUUCCGGAUUUAGUGGGUUGAAAGGGUGCGUAGGCUGGGAGGUAAGUCAGCGGUGAAAUGCCCCCGCCCAACGGGGUGAAGUGCCAUUGAUACUGCCUAGCUGGAGUGCGGAUGCGGUGGGAGGAAUGUGUGGUGUAGCGGUGAAAUGCAUAGAUAUCA